GCCCCCAUCGUCUAGUGGCCCAGGAUACCUGGUUCUCAGCCAGGAGACGGGGGUUCGAUUCCCCCUGGGGGUA
RNAcentral lists this transfer RNA (73 nucleotides) under Gemmatimonadota bacterium. RNAcentral describes it as "Gemmatimonadetes bacterium (beach sand metagenome) tRNA-Glu". It matches the Rfam family "tRNA". From Rfam's summary of the family: Transfer RNA (tRNA) molecules are approximately 80 nucleotides in length. Their secondary structure includes four short double-helical elements and three loops (D, anti-codon, and T loops). Lineage: Bacteria; Pseudomonadati; Gemmatimonadota. The record is from RNAcentral. RNAcentral also lists the same sequence under 2 other names.